AUUGUGAGCUUCGUCAUUCGAGCUUUCGAGCUGAUCUCAUGUAUGAUUGGCCCAUAUAUAGCUAGCUGCACUCCCCUGCAGUAUCUCAUCGACCACUACCUUGCAGUAAGAGCGAACAUUAAUUUGUUGAUAAUUUCCACUGCACCUCUGCUGACCUCGUUGACAAAUAGUUUUGUCAUAAGGUAAUUCGUAACGGGUACCAAGUAACAAAUGUAACAAUGGUGCAGCAAGGUGGCCCAAUCCUUUUUGUAGAAAAGGACAAGUCUGGACAAACUCUUAUAUAAAUAAAAACGCUUCCGAGGAUACAUGGGAAUUUAUGUCAAGCUAGUUUUCAUCAUGCUCAUAUGAUUCGUGUUCGUUACAU
Molecule: long non-coding RNA, 364 nt
Filed under: Hordeum vulgare
Lineage: Eukaryota; Viridiplantae; Streptophyta; Magnoliopsida; Poales; Poaceae
Description: long non-coding RNA (HVUL_LNC003090)
Source: RNAcentral